This 61-nucleotide transfer RNA is filed under the name Apatides fortis. RNAcentral's name for it is "tRNA-Cys". The record is from RNAcentral. Lineage: Eukaryota; Metazoa; Arthropoda; Insecta; Coleoptera; Bostrichidae.
AGCUUUAUAGUCAAUAAUGACACUAAAUUGCAAAUUUAGAGGAGAGUAGUUUCUAAGGCUU